This 443-nucleotide ribosomal RNA is filed under the name uncultured bacterium. RNAcentral describes it as "partial 16S ribosomal RNA". It matches the Rfam family "Bacterial small subunit ribosomal RNA", at positions 338 to 795 of the family's 1533-position model. The record is from RNAcentral.
CCUACGGGUGGCAGCAGUGGGGAAUAUUGGGCAAUGGGCGCAAGCCUGACCCAGCAACGCCGCGUGAAGGAAGAAGGCUUUCGGGUUGUAAACUUCUUUUCUCAGGGACGAAGAAAGUGACGGUACCGGAGGAAUAAGCCACGGCUAACUACGGGCCAGCAGCCGCGGUAAUACGUAGGUGGCAAGCGUUAUACGGAUUUAUUGGGUGUAAAGGGCGUGUAGGCGGGAGCGCAAGUCAGAUGUGAAAACUCAGGGCUCAACCCUGAGCCUGCCUUUGAAACGGUGUUUCUUGAGUGCUGGGGAGGCAAUCGGAAUUCCGUGUGUAGCGGUGCAAUGCGUAGAUAUCCGGAGGAACACCAGUGGCGAAGGCGGCUUGCUGGACAGUAACUGACGCUGAGGCGCGAAAGCGUGGGGAGCAAACAGGAUUAGAUACCCUUGUAGUC